This 270-nucleotide ribosomal RNA is filed under the name Burkholderia sp. C2. RNAcentral's name for it is "partial 16S rRNA". It matches the Rfam family "Bacterial small subunit ribosomal RNA", at positions 62 to 334 of the family's 1533-position model. Lineage: Bacteria; Pseudomonadati; Pseudomonadota; Betaproteobacteria; Burkholderiales; Burkholderiaceae. The record is from RNAcentral.
UCGAACGGCACACGGGUGCUUCACCUGGUGGCGAGUGGCGAACGGGUGAGUAAUACAUCGGAACAUGUCCUGUAGUGGGGGAUAGCCCGGCGAAAGCCGGAUUAAUACCGCAUACGAUCCACGGAUGAAAGCGGGGGACCUUCGGGCCUCGCGCUAUAGGGUUGGCCGAUGGCUGAUUAGCUAGUUGGUGGGGUAAAGGCCCACCAAGGCGACGAUCAGUAGCUGGUCUGAGAGGACGACCAGCCACACUGGGACUGAGACACGGCCCAG